Molecule: long non-coding RNA, 337 nt
Filed under: Brassica napus (rape)
Lineage: Eukaryota; Viridiplantae; Streptophyta; Magnoliopsida; Brassicales; Brassicaceae
Description: long non-coding RNA (BNAP_LNC021781)
Source: RNAcentral
AAAAAAAUAGCAACAAAUAUAUUAUUUAUUUAUUCUAACCGAUUUUUUUUAAAAAUAAGAUUACAAUUUAUUAAAUAAAAAAAUUAUUAAAAUUUAACGGAUUCUAGCCCAUAUGCUGUUUGCAAUCUCAUCUCGAAUACCUUCCAUGUAUUUUCUUGAAUUGAGAUCUUGUUCCAUCGCAUUUGGAAGUUCUUCCUCAUUUGUCGUUUGUUCGUUUUCAUUUUUUUCGGACUGAAAAUCAGGAUCCACAAGAUUUGAUUUGCGAAUAAAAUUAUGGAGAACCAUGGUUGCCACCAAAAUUUUUCGCAUUAUAGAUAUGUUAUACCUUGCUUCGUCU